CAGGAGCGCAGUCAUUUGCAAACAUAUUUGCUCACCAACUGCGAAGAUGUUCUUCAAUAUGAGAGAAAAGCGGUUCGAAUAUAGAUACGCCACAGAGGACGAACUAGAAGAAAUGAAGCAGAGAGAUUUUGCUAGAUGGAUGUUUAUUUAUAGGUGAAACAUUUGACGAUUGGAUACGCGAGAUGGUCGUUGGACCAAACUU
Molecule: long non-coding RNA, 202 nt
Organism: Brassica napus (rape)
Lineage: Eukaryota; Viridiplantae; Streptophyta; Magnoliopsida; Brassicales; Brassicaceae
Exons: 3
Source: RefSeq, a predicted model, not a curated record